AUCAGCCUUUCGGGUGCGAUUCUGUGGAGUGUGAGGAGCUUAACACCUUCAUGCUUUGCAUAUUUGUGCUCUUGGGUGUACUUGCCCGUGUGGUUGGUUAACAUCAAUUUUGGUUAUCAUAAAAUGAUUGGAGGAAUGUAGCUUCGAUCUCGUAUUGAAGUGUUAUAGCCUUCGGUAGAUGUGAUGAUCGAGAUUGAGGAUUGCAACGGAUACCCUUCGGGGCUACCUGUCUGGUCUCUGAUCGUUGCUCUGGUGCCGAAAGCUUGCUUACGGUUAUCAAAGUCGAUGGUCAAUAGGUUAGAACGGGUUAAAUUCGUUAAGGAUGUUGACGUAAUGGCUUU
RNAcentral lists this ribosomal RNA (341 nucleotides) under uncultured Glomeromycotina. RNAcentral describes it as "eukaryotic LSU rRNA". The record is from RNAcentral. Lineage: Eukaryota; Fungi; Glomeromycota.